RNAcentral lists this long non-coding RNA (505 nucleotides) under Phoenix dactylifera (date palm). Its description in RNAcentral is "long non-coding RNA (PDAC_LNC021771)". Lineage: Eukaryota; Viridiplantae; Streptophyta; Magnoliopsida; Arecales; Arecaceae. The record is from RNAcentral.
GGACGACUCGGCAGGUGCCGGGGACGUCUCCAAGUGUGCCAGUUCUUCCUGUUUGUGCCAGAGACGUCUCUGAGACUAUCAGGAGACGUCUCGGCUGUCCCUGAACUUUUUCUUUCAUCUCAAAAAAAUUCUUCAAUAAAUUCAUAAAAAUUAUGGGAACUUGCCUAGACAUUUCUUAACAAUAUUCUUAAUAAAACACAUGAAUUUCUCAAUUAAAUUGUUAAGAUAAAUGGAAUUAUACUCUAGUGUUUUGUAUUCAUCAAAAUCCAUUAGGGGGUCAACAACUUGUCUUUCUUAUUCCUGAACAAGGAUUUAACUUCAGGUGUUGAUGUGCAUGUAAGAAAAAAUGAAUGGGCGUUGUGGUGACCUCAGUACUGACCCAGCAAAAUCCUGCUGGUCAUUAAUGGGUGUACUAGUAAAAUCAUAGUUGCAUGAGUUACAUAUUCAUGCAUUUACAGACAACUUUGCUAAAGAUGUAUGUGGGCUGAGACAUGUAUUAAGUGCC